ACGGUAACAGGAAGAAGCUUGCUUCUUUGCUGACGAGUGGCGGACGGGUGAGUAAUGUCUGGGAAACUGCCUGAUGGAGGGGGAUAACUACUGGAAACGGUAGCUAAUACCGCAUAACGUCGCAAGACCAAAGAGGGGGACCUUCGGGCCUCUUGCCAUCGGAUGUGCCCAGAUGGGAUUAGCUAGUAGGUGGGGUAACGGCUCACCUAGGCGACGAUCCCUAGCUGGUCUGAGAGGAUGACCAGCCACACUGGAACUGAGACACGGUCCAGACUCCUACGGGAGGCAGCAGUGGGGAAUAUUGCACAAUGGGCGCAAGCCUGAUGCAGCCAUGCCGCGUGUAUGAAGAAGGCCUUCGGGUUGUAAAGUACUUUCAGCGGGGAGGAAGGGAGUAAAGUUAAUACCUUCGCUCAUUGACGUUACCCGCAGAAGAAGCACCGGCUAACUCCGUGCCAGCAGCCGCGGUAAUACGGAGGGUGCAAGCGUUAAUCGGAAUUACUGGGCGUAAAGCGCACGCAGGCGGUUUGUUAAGUCAGAUGUGAAAUCCCCGGGCUCAACCUGGGAACUGCAUCUGAUACUGGCAAGCUUGAGUCUCGUAGAGGGGGGUAGAAUUCCAGGUGUAGCGGUGAAAUGCGUAGAGAUCUGGAGGAAUACCGGUGGCGAAGGCGGCCUCCUGGACGAAGACUGACGCUCAGGUGCGAAAGC
This 705-nucleotide ribosomal RNA is filed under the name uncultured bacterium. RNAcentral describes it as "bacterial SSU rRNA". It matches the Rfam family "Bacterial small subunit ribosomal RNA", at positions 66 to 760 of the family's 1533-position model. The record is from RNAcentral.